CACGUGGGUAAUUUGCCGGGGAGCCCGGGAUAACUCCGAGAAAUCGGAGCUAAUACCGGAUGUGAUUGGGAACUGGCAUCAGUUUCCACUCAAAGUUGGGGAUCGAAAGACCUGACACUUCCAGAUGAGCCCGCGGCCUAUCAGCUAGUUGGCGGGGUAACGGCCCACCAAGGCUAAGACGGGUAGCUGGUCUGAGAGGACGACCAGCCACACUGGAACUGAGACACGGUCCAGACACCUACGGGUGGCAGCAGUCGAGAAUUUUUCACAAUGGGGGAAACCCUGAUGGAGCGACGCCGCGUGGGGGAUGAAUGGCUUCGGCCCGUAAACCCCUGUCAUUUGCGAACAAACCCUGCAGUUUAAGAGAUGGCAGGCUGAUCGUAGCAGAAGAGGAAGGGACGGCUAACUCUGUGCCAGCAGCCGCGGUAAUACAGAGGUCCCAAGCGUUGUUCGGAUUCACUGGGCGUAAAGGGUGCGUAGGCGGCGAGGUAAGUUUGAGGUGAAAUCUCCGGGCUCAACCCGGAAGCGGCCUUGAAGACUAUCUUGCUAGAGGAUCGGAGGGGAGAUCGGAAUUCUCGGUGUAGCAGUGAAAUGCGUAGAUAUCGAGAGGAACACCAGUGGGGAAGGCGGAUCUCUGGACGAAACCUGACGCUGAGGCACGAAAGCCAGGGGAGCAAACGGGAUUAGAUACCCCGGUAGUCCUGGCCCUAAACGGUGCGCACUUGCUGUAGGCGGAAUCGACCCCGUCUGUGGCGAAGGAAACCCGAUAAGUGC
RNAcentral lists this ribosomal RNA (774 nucleotides) under Verrucomicrobia bacterium SCGC AAA202-G17. RNAcentral's name for it is "bacterial SSU rRNA". It matches the Rfam family "Bacterial small subunit ribosomal RNA", at positions 114 to 867 of the family's 1533-position model. The record is from RNAcentral. Lineage: Bacteria; Pseudomonadati; Verrucomicrobiota.